CAAAGAACUCCCCCAGUCUCAGGAAGCACUCAGCUCCUACAAAAAGAAAAACAAAAAUACAAAGUCAGUCAAUUACAAUAUGAUCACAGCAGACAAAAACAAGCUUACCGUCACAAAAACAGACAUUACCCCGAGCGCAAACUGAUUACAGGUAGCAAGUUUACCACGACUGACCAAAACCACUACUACCAAGCUAGUACCAUAGCAGUACCAACAUAACUGAUAAAGACUGUUACAACACAGUUGAGUUCAAUAAAACUGAUCUUAGUGACAGUAACCAACAUAAAUAAAAGCAAAACAAACGGAAGCAGCAAAACCAAACAGAAUCAAGCAGCAACGUGGCUCUGCGAGUGAGGGGGAGGAGCUAUACCGAAACGACCACAUCUCACUCAGCCCGCCUUAACGCAUUCAAAAUCGAGGACCCUAAGAACAAACAGGUGUUACAACCUCAAUUUGGAAAGCAUGCAAGAUAGUUUAGCUCGAGUAACGGAACUAAAUGCUUUACCUACUGUGAUCCGAUGACAUGAUACACACGAUGGUACAAACGAAAAUCAUGAUAGCGUCUUUAAUAGUUGUGACGGCAACAGCUAGUGCUCCGACCGGAGCUACGUUAAACUACCAUGCUACACAGAUGGGAGCCUUGACCACCCAUGCACACAGUCUUGGUAGCCCAACGUCACACUAAACAAGUAUGGUUCAGGUUCAGGUGUUACAGUUCGGACCAGUGACUUCGGAGCGAUUAGGAAGCCUUCUGUGAGAGCUUCAGCCCCUGUGCAAUUAAAUAAGGAAGCUGUCGAAGUCUGUUUAGAGACUUGCUAUUGGUAAAACAUUUCUUGUUGUGCUGUUAGAGGAACAUAAUCAACAACAGGGUGGUGUGAUGAAGUGGAGUUAUUUUCCUAUAACAGUAUGCUGGAAGGUCAGGGGUUCAAGCCCCAGCACUGCCUGGCUCUGGGUUACUGAUCGGAAUGUCGGGGGUUCAAGCUCCAAGUUCAAGCUGCCACUGUUGGGCCCUUGAGCAAGGCCCUUAACCCUCUCUGCUCCAGGGGCGCUGUAUCAUGGCUGACCCUGCGCUCUGACCCCAACUUCCUAUCAUGCUGGGAUAUGCGAAGAAAAGAAUUUCACUCUGCUGUGACCAAUAAAGACUCAUUAUCGUUAUCGUGUCCCAUUUAUGUCCCAUUUAUUCUUCUUAUAGCACAGCAAUUUGCCACUGAUUACAUUUAUUUAUUUUUUUAUAAAUUAAACAAUGGCCUACAUCUCACCCAUAUGGCGUGUGAAAUAAAAUAUUAAAUAAUGAACUAAACUUGUUUGCUUGUUUCCUUUGUUCUUUCAGAGCAGUUCAGUGGUCCAUUUCUUUCAUUCCAUUACCGAUCUUCUCGUGUUCUUUUCUUCAACACGUCACUGUGCAACGAAGUGCUGUCUCCUUGUAGCAAAGCGAAACAGUUCUGUAUAAACUUGUCCUGUCUCUGUGGAGAUCUCAUGGCAUAGCAUAUUAUUAUUAACAUUUUUUUUUUUUUACAACCAUCUAGUGGUGCUCCUGUCUUGGUUACUUAAUUAGACCAGCUCCUCCGGGUGUUUGAAGAUCAAGUUUCCAGCAAACACGAGAACGAAGGAUGUUAUACUAUCAACAGUGUUUCAUAAACAUUAUUGGUAAACUCAAUAUAUUAACUAAAAUUACGCCAUAAACAUAAGAAUACUCGAU
This is a long non-coding RNA of Ictalurus punctatus (channel catfish), 1699 nucleotides long. The record is from Ensembl. NCBI's taxonomy places the organism in Eukaryota, Metazoa, Chordata, Actinopteri, Siluriformes, Ictaluridae.